UUUUUUUUUUCUGGUUUGAAACUCCUCCAGCGACAGGAGGUUCUGGUCCUACAUAUUCAUACUGGAGGUACACUGGUUUUACGCGGACGUAUGCAAUCCCCAGACGUAUUUAUGAUAGCCCCACCUUUUACUCAUUCAUUUUCUGAAUCGAGUUAAAGAUGCCUUUAAGUCUGAUCUCUUGUGCUUCAUUUACAAGUCGCCUUUUUCAAGAUGCAUCUUCUUAGCAUGAGAUUGAAUAUUAAUGAAAAUUGAUUCGAUCGAUUUGAUUUUUAUUUUUCCUCCGACGAAAUUUGUGCAAAAAGGAUAUUUCGGGACAUGUAAAACAUUUUAAUAGGAUGCAACCAUUCUUGAUGCCCUUUUCACAAAGCCUCUUACAAUUCUUUUCUUAAAAGAUAAUGAUUGAAAUUUUCUGCAAUAAAUUUGAAUAGAAUAAAUUUGAACUUGCUUUCAAGACAAUCCCCGGCGACCCAACAAAAUAUGUUCUAUUAUCAAAUGAAAAGUUCGAUCGAUUGGUAUGACAACGAGUUCGAUUGGUUUCAUUUUCUAGCCGAAGAUGUCAAUCCGGACGGAUAUAUCAUAAUGAAAUUAUUGGUACCGGUCUGUUUGACAGACAGCUUGUCUUUCAAUAACCUACCAUUGCCGCCGCCACGAGAGUAUAUUAACGCAAGAGAGGGAACCGACUUUAAUAUCAAAAAACUGGAAGAGAAAUACUAGAAGAAAAGAGAAAGAAUGGAAGUCGUGACGUUUAAAGUGGCAGCUAAAAAAGUGCACACACACUAUAUGCAAUAUAUUCCGUGCAUACUGUAUUCUAUAUCAUCCUCUUGAUGAAACGGUCAGCACUGUAAACAAGCUUAUCGCUGUAUCUCUUACACAUUUCGUUAAUUUGGAUUAUGUGUGGAAUAUGAUCUAUGAACUUUGAGGAGCGUACUAGUUACCCGCAAGAACUUAUGCAGUUGGCAAGCAAGCGGGAUGAAAUCUGCAAUUGAAUUAAUUUUAGAUCGCGGAAACUGCGGUGCACGAACAAUUAAUACACGCUUCGACGAUAAUAGAAAAUGGAGUACAUGAACCAUUUGCAUCAAAGGACUCAACAAAGGACUUAUUUGAGCAGUUUUUAAGUUAUUUAGCAAAGUAAACGCAACGAUGUGAUUGUCAUGUGAGAUCCUACAACAAAAUGUUUCAGAGGCUUUGGUUUUGUAACUUGCAAAAAUGCAACUACGAUUGAUAAAGCAUAAGCGGCUAGUGGAUGGAAGGUGUUAUAUCUCGCUCUGAAGUAAGCGAUGAUCCCACAGUAAACAAAAUUUUCGUUGGAGGUCUUAGGGAAUAUCACGGAAGAAUAUUUCCAGCCAGUUGGCAAAGUUGUUAGCGUAAAUGUUUUGUCAGACAAAACUAGAGAGUUUUGAUGAUUAUGACGCACUUGAUAAGGCGAUCUAUGUAAGUACUUUGUGUUCAAUUACAAAUUAUGCUAUAUAUAUUUAUGACGACAUGGACUGCAUAAAGACUUUUUUCACGGUUAUAGAAGGUGAUAUUUAUAGUGUUCUUUGAACAUUACCUCUCGCCUAAGUAAGUGUAAAAUUUGUUUUAACUCUUAUUAAAUGCUUGAAUUUUUAUUAAAAAAAAGAAAAAAAAAAUAUUGAAAUCAA
This is an RNA transcript of Glossina fuscipes, 1640 nucleotides long. RefSeq lists it as uncharacterized. The record is from RefSeq and is a predicted model, not a curated record. Lineage: Eukaryota; Metazoa; Arthropoda; Insecta; Diptera; Glossinidae. The transcript is spliced from 3 exons.